CAAUAGCGUAUAUUUAAGUUGUUGCAGUUAAAAAGCUCGUAGUUGGAUUUCGGAUGGGACUUGCCGGUCCGUCGUUUCGAUGUGCACUGGCCAGUCCUAUCUUGUUGUCGGGGACUAGCUCCUGGGCUUCACUGUCCGGGACUAGGAGCUGACGAGGUUACUUUGAGUAAAUUAGAGCGUUCAAAGCAAGCCUACGCUCUGAAUACAUUAGCAUGGAAUAACACGAUAGGACUCUGGCUUAUCUUGUUGGUCUGUGAGACCAGAGUAAUGAUUAAGAGGGACAGUCGGGGGCAUUCGUAUUUCAUUGUCAGAGGUGAAAUUCUUGGAUUUAUGAAAGACGAACUUCUGCGAAAGCAUUUGUCAAGGAUGUUUUCAUUAA
This 379-nucleotide ribosomal RNA is filed under the name uncultured eukaryote. Its description in RNAcentral is "partial 18S ribosomal RNA". It matches the Rfam family "Eukaryotic small subunit ribosomal RNA", at positions 592 to 976 of the family's 1831-position model. The record is from RNAcentral.